CCUACGGGUGGCUGCAGUGAGGAAUAUUGGUCAAUGGACGAGAGUCUGAACCAGCCCAGUCUCGUGCAGGAUGACUGCCCUAUGGGUUGUAAACUUCUUUUAUAUGGGGAUAACAUUUACUACGUGUACUGUUUUGUAUGUACCAUCUGAAUAAGGAUCGGCUAACUCCGUGCCAGCAGCCGCGGUAAUACGGAGGAUCCGAGCUUUCUCCGGAUUUAUUGGGUUUAAAGGGUGCGUAGGAGGAUUGUUAAGUCAGUUGUGAAAGUUUGAGGCUCAACCGUAAAAUUGCAGUUGAAACUGGCAGUCUUGAGUGCAGUAGAGGUAGGCGGAAUUCGUGGUGUAGCGGUGAAAUGCUUAGAUAUCACGAAGAACGCCGAUUGCGAAGGCAGCUUACUGGACUGUAACUGACGCUGAGGCUCGAAAGUGUGGGUAUCAAACAGGAUUAGAUACCCUUGUAGUC
RNAcentral lists this ribosomal RNA (460 nucleotides) under uncultured bacterium. RNAcentral's name for it is "partial 16S ribosomal RNA". It matches the Rfam family "Bacterial small subunit ribosomal RNA", at positions 338 to 795 of the family's 1533-position model. The record is from RNAcentral.